AUUGAACGCUGGCGGCAUGCCUUACACAUGCAAGUCGAACGGCAGCGCGGACUUCGGUCUGGCGGCGAGUGGCGAACGGGUGAGUAAUACAUCGGAACGUACCCUGUUGUGGGGGAUAACUAGUCGAAAGAUUAGCUAAUACCGCAUACGACCUGAGGGUGAAAGUGGGGGACCGCAAGGCCUCACGCAGAAGGAGCGGCCGAUGUCUGAUUAGCUAGUUGGUGGGGUAAAGGCUCACUAAGGCGACGAUCAGUAGCUGGUCUGAGAGGACGAUCAGCCACACUGGGACUGAGACACGGCCCAGACUCCUACGGGAGGCAUCAGUGGGGAAUUUUGGACAAUGGGGGCAACCCUGAUCCAGCAAUGCCGCGUGUGUGAAGAAGGCCUUCGGGUUGUAAAGCACUUUUGUCCGGAAAGAAAUCGCGCUGGUUAAUACCUGGCGUGGAUGACGGUACCGGAAGAAUAAGCACCGGCUAACUACGUGCCAGCAGCCGCCGUAA
RNAcentral lists this ribosomal RNA (500 nucleotides) under uncultured bacterium. Its description in RNAcentral is "partial 16S ribosomal RNA". It matches the Rfam family "Bacterial small subunit ribosomal RNA", at positions 30 to 523 of the family's 1533-position model. The record is from RNAcentral.